This is a non-coding RNA of Cajanus cajan (pigeon pea), 2446 nucleotides long. NCBI's taxonomy places the organism in Eukaryota, Viridiplantae, Streptophyta, Magnoliopsida, Fabales, Fabaceae. The record is from RefSeq and is a predicted model, not a curated record.
GCACAAGCGUUCAAUUAGGGUUGAUGUGGGCCGCAGAUAAAUCACAGCCCAUAGAAGACAGGCCCGCCCUUUCUGCAUCAAAAGUCCAAAAAGAAAAAGGUUCACCGCUUCGGAGGUUCAGUGCUGACUGCUGAAAGAACCUUUAGCCGGAGCAAGCAAGGCAAGAACCGCACUAGCUCACUCCCUAUUCAAAUUGCAUCCAUGGAACGAGUCACAGAGCGAGCAAUGCUUCAAAACGACGACAUCCGCAUCGUUUCCUCUUCUAUCAAAAUCCCUCUUCCUCACAAACGCCCAACCUGUCCCCUGCGAACCGCACAUUCUCACUUCGUCAACGCCUCGAACUCGAUUGCGCAACUCUUCAACUCGUUCGCCGCUCACUCCACCGAGUUGACUCGCUCCGUGGUGCGAAAUUCGUCGCUCCUGUGCUCGGCGACGCUGUCCUUUACCGGCGAGAGGAGAGGAAAGUGUCCGAUUCAGCGUCUGGCGUCUCUGUCUCUGGCGGAUAUUGAGGCGCAGCAGAAGGCGCGGCAGAACGAGGAGAGAGUGCUGAUAAGCGAAGUGCUGGUUCGAAACAAAGACGGCGAGGAAUUGGAGAGGAAGGACCUCGAAGCGGAAGCGGUGCAGGCUCUCAAGGCUUGUCGACCUAACUCGGCUCUAACAGUGCGCGAGGUACAAGAGGAUGUGCAUCGCAUCAUCAACAGCGGAUAUUUUUCGUCGUGCAUGCCGGUUGCGGUUGACACACGCGACGGUAUCCGAUUAGUAUUUCAGGUAGAACCAAAUCAAGAGUUCCAAGGGUUGGUAUGUGAAGGAGCUAAUGUUCUCCCAGCUAAAUUUUUAGAGAAUUCGAUGCGAGAUGGAUAUGGGAAAAUCAUCAAUUUGAGACGAUUGGAUGAAGCAAUAUCUUCCAUUAACAACUGGUACAUGGAGCGUGGUCUUUUUGCCAUGGUUUCAGCUGUUGAGAUUCUCUCUGGGGGUAUUCUGAGAUUACAAGUGUCAGAGGCUGAGGUCAAUAAUAUUUCCAUACGGUUUCUUGACAGGAAGACAGGUGAGAUUACUAUGGGGAAGACAAAGCCUGAAACAAUACUUCGGCAAAUUACAACCAAGAAGGGACAGGUCUACAGCAUGCUUCAGGGAAAAAGAGACGUAGAAACUGUACUAACUAUGGGGAUCAUGGAAGAUGUUAGCAUUAUUCCCCAACCAGCAGAUACAGGAAAAGUUGAUUUAGUGAUGAAUGUGGUAGAACGUCCCAGUGGAGGAUUUUCUGCUGGUGGUGGGAUAUCAAGUGGGAUUACAAAUGGUCCACUAAGGGGGCUCAUUGGAAGCUUUGCCUAUUCUCACAGGAAUGUCUUCGGUAAAAACCAGAAGCUCAAUAUUUCCUUAGAGAGGGGCCAGAUUGACUCAGUCUAUCGUAUAAACUACACAGACCCAUGGAUUCAAGGAGAUGAUAAACGAACAUCUAGAACAAUAACAAUUCAGAAUUCAAGAACUCCUGGAACCAUUGUUCAUGGUAAUGAAGAUGGUAACCGUAGCCUUACCAUUGGCCGCAUCACUGGUGGUAUAGAGUUUAGCCGACCACUCAGGCCGAAGUGGAGUGGAACAGCUGGACUUGUUUUCCAGCAUGCUGGAGUCCGUGAUGAGAAGGGUAUUCCUAUCAUUAAAGAUUGUUACAGCAGUCCUCUUACUGCUAGUGGCAAUACCCAUGAUGAUACGUUGCUUGCUAAGCUUGAGACUGUUUACACUGGUUCUGGCGACCAUGGGUCUUCUAUGUUUGUCCUUACCAUGGAACAGGGACUUCCUGUUUUGCCUGAAUGGUUGUCCUUCUCUAGGGUGAAUGCACGUGCUAGGAAGGGUGUUGAGAUAGGUCCUGCCCGCCUUCAUUUAAGUCUCUCUGGUGGUCACGUUGUGGGAGAAUUCUCUCCCUAUGAAGCUUUUGCCAUUGGUGGAACAAACAGUGUGAGAGGAUAUGAAGAAGGUAGUGUGGGCUCAGGUCGAUCAUAUGUUGUUACCUCUGGAGAAGUUUCUUUCCCCAUGAAAGGGCCAGUAGAAGGUGUUUUAUUUUCAGACUAUGGAACUGAUCUUGGAUCAGGCCCAACUGUACCUGGUGACCCUGCUGGAGCAAGGAAGAAGCCUGGCAGCGGAUAUGGCUACGGGUUUGGCAUCCGUGUGGAAUCACCUUUGGGUCCUUUGCGUCUUGAAUAUGCCUUUAACGACAAGAAAGAGAGGAGGUUUCAUUUCGGAGUGGGGCAUAGAAACUAACAUCGGGAGACAAUUCGUACUAGGUGCUUCUUGAUCGUUGUAAAUAAUCCUCCCUCUUUCCCUUUAGCUCGCAUACCUUUCCUUAUUCGGGAAAUUUGUAUAUUAUUUUUCAAAAAACAAAAAUUACUCAAAUGCCUCGAUCCUCUCUAUAAAUGUUUCUAAUAGCUACUCCCUCUUUUUUUCAUUGUCA